Molecule: ribosomal RNA, 492 nt
Filed under: uncultured bacterium
Lineage: Bacteria
Description: partial 16S ribosomal RNA
Rfam family: Bacterial small subunit ribosomal RNA
Source: RNAcentral
AGUGAAUGCUGGCGGUAGGCCUAACACAUGCAAGUCGAACGGCAGCACAGUAAGAGCUUGCUCUUACGGGUGGCGAGUGGCGGACGGGUGAGGAAUACAUCGGAAUCUACUUUUUCGUGGGGGAUAACGUAGGGAAACUUACGCUAAUACCGCAUACGACCUACGGGUGAAAGCAGGGGAUCUUCGGACCUUGCGCGAUUGAAUGAGCCGAUGUCGGAUUAGCUAGUUGGCGGGGUAAAGGCCCACCAAGGCGACGAUCCGUAGCUGGUCUGAGAGGAUGAUCAGCCACACUGGAACUGAGACACGGUCCAGACUCCUACGGGAGGCAGCAGUGGGGAAUAUUGGACAAUGGGCGCAAGCCUGAUCCAGCCAUACCGCGUGGGUGAAGAAGGCCUCCGGGUUGUAAAGCCCUUUUGUUGGGAAAGAAAAGCAGCAGGUUAAUACCCCGCUGUUCUGACGGUACCCAAAGAAUAAGCACCGGCUAACUUCGUG